RNAcentral lists this ribosomal RNA (421 nucleotides) under Lysobacterales bacterium. RNAcentral describes it as "bacterial SSU rRNA". It matches the Rfam family "Bacterial small subunit ribosomal RNA", at positions 1 to 414 of the family's 1533-position model. The record is from RNAcentral. Lineage: Bacteria; Pseudomonadati; Pseudomonadota; Gammaproteobacteria; Lysobacterales.
UUAAACUGAAGAGUUUGAUCCUGGCUCAGAUUGAACGCUGGCGGCAUGCCUAACACAUGCAAGUCGAACGGUAACAGGAGCUAGCUUGCUAGCUUGCUGACGAGUGGCGGACGGGUGAGUAAUGCGUAGGAAUUUACCUCAAAGCGGGGGAUAGCCCGGAGAAAUCCGGAUUAAUACCGCAUGUGCUCUACGGAGGAAAGCGGGCCUCUACUUGUAAGCUCGCACUUUGAGAUAAGCCUACGUCGGAUUAGCUAGUUGGUAGGGUAAAGGCCUACCAAGGCGACGAUCCGUAGCUGGUUUGAGAGGAUGAUCAGCCACACUGGGACUGAGACACGGCCCAGACUCCUACGGGAGGCAGCAGUGGGGAAUAUUGGACAAUGGGCGAAAGCCUGAUCCAGCAAUGCCGCGUGUGUGAAGAAGG